ACUGCCAAGGAGGGCAGUGGUUUUAUACAGGAGCGAGAUUUGUGUUAUGCACAAAUCUCGUCGUUAAGCAGUUGUACACGGAUGUACAACUGCUUAACAGUC
This is a non-coding RNA of Treponema sp. OMZ 838, 102 nucleotides long. The record is from Rfam. NCBI's taxonomy places the organism in Bacteria, Pseudomonadati, Spirochaetota, Spirochaetia, Treponematales, Treponemataceae.